Molecule: non-coding RNA, 222 nt
Organism: Pelobates cultripes (western spadefoot toad)
Lineage: Eukaryota; Metazoa; Chordata; Amphibia; Anura; Pelobatidae
Source: the annotation of a GenBank genome assembly
GAGGAGAGAGCCGAGAAAAAGAAGAUAAAUAAAUAUGGCAUCUAAAAAAGCCCAGGAAGACUGGAGGAAAAAAAGAUAAAAGAGAUUUAUCACUGGAUACUUUUCUCCAUCCCAACACAAGCCACAAAUUACUCAAGAAAACACAGAUGAAAACCCAGAAAUAAAUUACAGCUUAAUUAAAGCGGUACAAACGGCCAUUCCCAUGACUGAAGAUAUUCUUAC